AACGAACGCUGGCGGCAUGCCUAACACAUGCAAGUCGAACGAUGCCUUCGGGCAUAGUGGCGCACGGGUGCGUAACGCGUGGGAAUCUGCCUUUCGGUUCGGAAUAACUCAGGGAAACUUGAGCUAAUACCGGAUAACGUCGCAAGACCAAAGAUUUAUCACCGAAAGAUGAGCCCGCGUAGGAUUAGCUAGUUGGUGAGGUAAAGGCUCACCAAGGCGACGAUCCUUAGCUGGCCUGAGAGGAUGAUCAGCCACACUGGGACUGAGACACGGCCCAGACUCCUACGGGAGGCAGCAGUGGGGAAUAUUGGACAAUGGGCGAAAGCCUGAUCCAGCAAUGCCGCGUGAGUGAUGAAGGCCUUAGGGUUGCAAAGCUCUUUUACCCGGGAAGAUAAUGACGGUACCGGGAGAAUAAGCCCCGGCUAACUCCGUG
Molecule: ribosomal RNA, 433 nt
Filed under: uncultured bacterium
Lineage: Bacteria
Description: partial 16S ribosomal RNA
Rfam family: Bacterial small subunit ribosomal RNA
Source: RNAcentral